RNAcentral lists this ribosomal RNA (303 nucleotides) under uncultured Alteromonas sp. Its description in RNAcentral is "bacterial SSU rRNA". It matches the Rfam family "Bacterial small subunit ribosomal RNA", at positions 30 to 334 of the family's 1533-position model. Lineage: Bacteria; Pseudomonadati; Pseudomonadota; Gammaproteobacteria; Alteromonadales; Alteromonadaceae. The record is from RNAcentral.
AUUGAACGCUGGCGGCAGGCCUAACACAUGCAAGUCGAACGGUAACAGGAAGUGCUUGCACUUCGCUGACGGGUGGCGGACGGGUGAGUAAUGCUUGGGAACUUGCCUUUGCGAGGGGGAUAACAGUUGGAAACGACUGCUAAUACCGCAUAAUGUCUACGGACCAAACGGGGCUUUUAGCUCCGGCGCAAAGAGAGGCCCAAGUGAGAUUAGCUAGUUGGUAAGGUAACGGCUUACCAAGGCGACGAUCUCUAGCUGUUCUGAGAGGAAGAUCAGCCACACUGGGACUGAGACACGGCCCAG